UUUCAAUGCAAAGCCAAUUUUUACAUUACCCAAAACUAGGCCCUCUCUUGUGUUUCAAUUAUUAAGAAAGUGCUUUUUGUUUUGGGCAUUGUAUGUUUUGGGCACUCCAUUUAGAAAUCCACCUUCUCCAAGAAAAAGCACAAUUGUCUGUGGAAGAGCCGUUAGCUGACCAAUUUGAUAUCACCCAAAACUAAGCUCUCUCUUGUGUUCUCUUGAUGGUCAGAAAGUGCUUCCUGUUUUGGGCGUUAUCGAUUGGAGAAUUCAACUUUGCAGCAAUGGGAUGAUUUAUAUUUGUUUCAGACUGAUUAUGUAGCACCCAAAACGGGGCUCUCUCUUGUGACUGAAUUAUGAUGAGAAAGUGCUUUCUGUUUUGGGCGUUCUGGCCAUCAGAUAUACGACAUGGAAUUGGAUGUUGAGAGGCAGCUUGUGAAAAAAAGGCAUGGAGGCUUAUCAUCCGUGUCAGAAAUUUAUUAGUGGUGUUUAUGUGGGGAAUUACCUCUGGGAGCUGGAAAAAAGAAGUUGAGAAGGCCUUCUACUGGAUUGAUAAUGUGACAGAUACAUCUGAUUUUUCAAUGCAAAGCCAACUCUACAAAGCUGCAGAUAAUUUUAUUUAAUGUAUUAUUACUUUCUACUAUUUAACAUCUAAGAGUUUCCUCUGGUUGCUAGUUUCUACCCUGGAUAUCACUAAUGUUAAUUAGGAAGUCUGUCCCUUGCCCCACCCAGACAGGUGACUGCAAAACAAUAGUGUCCUAAUUAUAUGCAUACCGCUUGGCAAUUGAUUGGCUAAUGGUCUUCUAGGAUCUACAGAUAUAAGUGCCAGAUCUAGGGAAGGCAAUCCACAGUCUCCAGCAGAAAGCACUGAAGCUCCUCAAGUGACCUCUGCAAGAUGUUUCUUGUACACUCCAAUAUUACUCCAAUGGGUUUGGAGUCAAAUCUUCAAGGGCCUUGCAAAAAAAAUCCUCUGCAGAGUAAAAGAACCAACAGUGGAAAGGGACUGAAGAUUCCUACAGGCUGAUUAUGCAUCACCCAGAACAAGGCUCUCUUCUUUUGACCUUCAUGGAUGGAUCUACAGAUAUAAGUGCCAGAUCUAGGGAAGGCAAUCCACAGUCUCCAGCAGAAAGCACUGAAGCUCCUCAAGUGACCUCUGCAAGAUGUUUCUUGUACACUCCAAUAUUACUCCAAUGGGUUUGGAGUCAAAUCUUCAAGGGCCUUGCAAAAAAAAUCCUCUGCAGAGUAAAAGAACCAACAGUGGAAAGGGACUGAAGAUUCCUACAGGCUGAUUAUGCAUCACCCAGAACAAGGCUCUCUUCUUUUGACCUUCAUGGAUGGUGAGAAAGUGCUUUCUGUUUUGGGUGAUCUAUGUAUCAGAAAUACAUCAAAGGUUUUUAUAAGGGGAAUUGGUUCAGAUUAGAAAUGUAUCAUUUGGGUUUAUACGGGAAAUCAAUCCUAGAAAGUUGUGAAAGCCUUCCAAUGGAUUGAUAAUGUGUCAGAUACAACUGAUUUUCAAUGCAAAGCCAAUUUUACAUUACCCAAAACUAGGCCCUCUCUUGUGUUUCAAUUAUUAAGAAAGUGCUUUUUGUUUUGGGCAUUGUAUGUUUUGGGCACUCCAUUUAGAAAUCCACCUUCUCCAAGAAAAAGCACAAUUGUCUGUGGAAGAGCCGUUAGCUGACCAAUUUGAUAUCACCCAAAACUAAGCUCUCUCUUGUGUUCUCUUGAUGGUCAGAAAGUGCUUCCUGUUUUGGGCGUUAUCGAUUGGAGAAUUCAACUUUGCAGCAAUGGGAUGAUUUAUAUUUGUUUCAGACUGAUUAUGUAGCACCCAAAACGGGGCUCUCUCUUGUGACUGAAUUAUGAUGAGAAAGUGCUUUCUGUUUUGGGCGUUCUGGCCAUCAGAUAUACGACAUGGAAUUGGAUGUUGAGAGGCAGCUUGUGAAAAAAAGGCAUGGAGGCUUAUCAUCCGUGUCAGAAAUUUAUUAGUGGUGUUUAUGUAGGGGAAUUACCUCUGGGAGCUGGAAAAAAAGAAGUUGAGAAGGCCUUCUACUGGAUUGAUAAUGUGACAGAUACAUCUGAUUUUUCAAUGCAAAGCCAACUCUACAAAGCUGCAGAUAAUUUUAUUUAAGGUAUUAUUACUUUCUACUAUUUAACAUCUAAGAGUUUCCUCUGGUUGCUAGUUUCUACCCUGGAUAUCACUAAUGUUAAUUAGGAAGUCUGUCCCUUGCCCCACCCAGACAGGUGACUGCAAAACAAUAGUGUCUUAAUUAUAUGCAUACCGCUUGGCAAUUGAUUGGCUAAUGGUCUUCUAGGAUCUACAGAUAUAAGUGCCAGAUCUAGGGAAGGCAAUCCACAGUCUCCAGCAGAAAGCACUGAAGCUCCUCAAGUGACCUCUGCAAGAUGUUUCUUGUACACUCCAAUAUUACUCCAAUGGGUUUGGAGUCAAAUCUUCAAGGGCCUUGCAAAAAAAAUCCUCUGCAGAGUAAAAGAACCAACAGUGGAAAGGGACUGAAGAUUCCUACAGGCUGAUUAUGCAUCACCCAGAACAAGGCUCUCUUCUUUUGACCUUCAUGGAUGGUGAGAAAGUGCUUUCUGUUUUGGGUGAUCUAUGUAUCAGAAAUACAUCAAAGGUUUUUAUAAGGGGAAUUGGUUCAGAUUAGAAAUGUAUCAUUUGGGUUUAUACGGGAAAUCAAUCCUAGAAAGUUGUGAAAGCCUUCCAAUGGAUUGAUAAUGUGUCAGAUACAACUGAUUUUCAAUGCAAAGCCAAUUUUACAUUACCCAAAACUAGGCCCUCUCUUGUGUUUCAAUUAUUAAGAAAGUGCUUUUUGUUUUGGGCAUUGUAUGUUUUGGGCACUCCAUUUAGAAAUCCACCUUCUCCAAGAAAAAGCACAAUUGUCUGUGGAAGAGCCGUUAGCUGACCAAUUUGAUAUCACCCAAAACUAAGCUCUCUCUUGUGUUCUCUUGAUGGUCAGAAAGUGCUUCCUGUUUUGGGCGUUAUCGAUUGGAGAAUUCAACUUUGCAGCAAUGGGAUGAUUUAUAUUUGUUUCAGACUGAUUAUGUAGCACCCAAAACGGGGCUCUCUCUUGUGACUGAAUUAUGAUGAGAAAGUGCUUUCUGUUUUGGGCGUUCUGGCCAUCAGAUAUACGACAUGGAAUUGGAUGUUGAGAGGCAGCUUGUGAAAAAAAGGCAUGGAGGCUUAUCAUCCGUGUCAGAAAUUUAUUAGUGGUGUUUAUGUAAGGGGAAUUACCUCUGGGAGCUGGAAAAAAAGAAGUUGAGAAGGCCUUCUACUGGAUUGAUAAUGUGACAGAUACAGCUGAUUUUUCAAUGCAAAGCCAACUCUACAAAGCUGCAGAUAAUUUUAUUUAAGGUAUUAUUACUUUCUACUAUUUAACAUCUAAGAGUUUCCUCUGGUUGCUAGUUUCUACCCUGGAUAUCACUAAUGUUAAUUAGGAAGUCUGUCCCUUGCCCCGCCCAGACAGGUGACUGCAAAACAAUAGUGUCUUAAUUAUAUGCAUACCGCUUGGCAAUUGAUUGGCUAAUGGUCUUCUAGGAUCUACAGAUAUAAGUGCCAGAUCUAGGGAAGGCAAUCCACAGUCUCCAGCAGAAAGCACUGAAGCUCCUCAAGUGACCUCUGCAAGAUGUUUCUUGUACACUCCAAUAUUACUCCAAUGGGUUUGGAGUCAAAUCUUCAAGGGCCUUGCAAAAAAAAUCCUCUGCAGAGUAAAAGAACCAACAGUGGAAAGGGACUGAAGAUUCCUACAGGCUGAUUAUGCAUCACCCAGAACAAGGCUCUCUUCUUUUGACCUUCAUGGAUGGUGAGAAAGUGCUUUCUGUUUUGGGUGAUCUAUGUAUCAGAAAUACAUCAAAGGUUUUUAUAAGGGGAAUUGGUUCAGAUUAGAAAUGUAUCAUUUGGGUUUAUACGGGAAAUCAAUCCUAGAAAGUUGUGAAAGCCUUCCAAUGGAUUGAUAAUGUGACAGAUACAACUAAUUUUCAAUGCAAAGCCAAUUUUACAUUACCCAAAACUAGGCCCUCUCUUGUGUUUCAAUUAUUAAGAAAGUGCUUUUUGUUUUGGGCAUUGUAUGUUUUGGGCACUCCAUUUAGAAAUCCACCUUCUCCAAGAAAAAGCACAAUUGUCUGUGGAAGAGCCGUUAGCUGACCAAUUUGAUAUCACCCAAAACUAAGCUCUCUCUUGUGUUCUCUUGAUGGUCAGAAAGUGCUUCCUGUUUUGGGCGUUAUCGAUUGGAGAAUUCAACUUUGCAGCAAUGGGAUGAUUUAUAUUUGUUUCAGACUGAUUAUGUAGCACCCAAAACGGGGCUCUCUCUUGUGACUGAAUUAUGAUGAGAAAGUGCUUUCUGUUUUGGGCGUUCUGGCCAUCAGAUAUACGACAUGGAAUUGGAUGUUGAGAGGCAGCUUGUGAAAAAAAGGCAUGGAGGCUUAUCAUCCGUGUCAGAAAUUUAUUAGUGGUGUUUAUGUAGGGGAAUUACCUCUGGGAGCUGGAAAAAAAGAAGUUGAGAAGGCCUUCUACUGGAUUGAUAAUGUGACAGAUACAGCUGAUUUUUCAAUGCAAAGCCAACUCUACAAAGCUGCAGAUAAUUUUAUUUAAGGUAUUAUUACUUUCUACUAUUUAACAUCUAAGAGUUUCCUCUGGUUGCUAGUUUCUACCCUGGAUAUCACUAAUGUUAAUUAGGAAGUCUGUCCCUUGCCCCACCCAGACAGGUGACUGCAAAACAAUAGUGUCUUAAUUAUAUGCAUACCGCUUGGCAAUUGAUUGGCUAAUGGUCUUCUAGGAUCUACAGAUAUAAGUGCCAGAUCUAGGGAAGGCAAUCCACAGUCUCCAGCAGAAAGCACUGAAGCUCCUCAAGUGACCUCUGCAAGAUGUUUCUUGUACACUCCAAUAUUACUCCAAUGGGUUUGGAGUCAAAUCUUCAAGGGCCUUGCAAAAAAAAUCCUCUGCAGAGUAAAAGAACCAACAGUGGAAAGGGACUGAAGAUUCCUACAGGCUGAUUAUGCAUCACCCAGAACAAGGCUCUCUUCUUUUGACCUUCAUGGAUGGUGAGAAAGUGCUUUCUGUUUUGGGUGAUCUAUGUAUCAGAAAUACAUCAAAGGUUUUUAUAAGGGGAAUUGGUUCAGAUUAGAAAUGUAUCAUUUGGGUUUAUACGGGAAAUCAAUCCUAGAAAGUUGUGAAAGCCUUCCAAUGGAUUGAUAAUGUGUCAGAUACAACUGAUUUUCAAUGCAAAGCCAAUUUUACAUUACCCAAAACUAGGCCCUCUCUUGUGUUUCAAUUAUUAAGAAAGUGCUUUUUGUUUUGGGCAUUGUAUGUUUUGGGCACUCCAUUUAGAAAUCCACCUUCUCCAAGAAAAAGCACAAUUGUCUGUGGAAGAGCCGUUAGCUGACCAAUUUGAUAUCACCCAAAACUAAGCUCUCUCUUGUGUUCUCUUGAUGGUCAGAAAGUGCUUCCUGUUUUGGGCGUUAUCGAUUGGAGAAUUCAACUUUGCAGCAAUGGGAUGAUUUAUAUUUGUUUCAGACUGAUUAUGUAGCACCCAAAACGGGGCUCUCUCUUGUGACUGAAUUAUGAUGAGAAAGUGCUUUCUGUUUUGGGCGUUCUGGCCAUCAGAUAUACGACAUGGAAUUGGAUGUUGAGAGGCAGCUUGUGAAAAAAAGGCAUGGAGGCUUAUCAUCCGUGUCAGAAAUUUAUUAGUGGUGUUUAUGUAGGGGAAUUACCUCUGGGAGCUGGAAAAAAAGAAGUUGAGAAGGCCUUCUACUGGAUUGAUAAUGUGACAGAUACAGCUGAUUUUUCAAUGCAAAGCCAACUCUACAAAGCUGCAGAUAAUUUUAUUUAAGGUAUUAUUACUUUCUACUAUUUAACAUCUAAGAGUUUCCUCUGGUUGCUAGUUUCUACCCUGGAUAUCACUAAUGUUAAUUAGGAAGUCUGUCCCUUGCCCCGCCCAGACAGGUGACUGCAAAACAAUAGUGUCUUAAUUAUAUGCAUACCGCUUGGCAAUUGAUUGGCUAAUGGUCUUCUAGGAUCUACAGAUAUAAGUGCCAGAUCUAGGGAAGGCAAUCCACAGUCUCCAGCAGAAAGCACUGAAGCUCCUCAAGUGACCUCUGCAAGAUGUUUCUUGUACACUCCAAUAUUACUCCAAUGGGUUUGGAGUCAAAUCUUCAAGGGCCUUGCAAAAAAAAUCCUCUGCAGAGUAAAAGAACCAACAGUGGAAAGGGACUGAAGAUUCCUACAGGCUGAUUAUGCAUCACCCAGAACAAGGCUCUCUUCUUUUGACCUUCAUGGAUGGUGAGAAAGUGCUUUCUGUUUUGGGUGAUCUAUGUAUCAGAAAUACAUCAAAGGUUUUUAUAAGGGGAAUUGGUUCAGAUUAGAAAUGUAUCAUUUGGGUUUAUACGGGAAAUCAAUCCUAGAAAGUUGUGAAAGCCUUCCAAUGGAUUGAUAAUGUGUCAGAUACAACUGAUUUUCAAUGCAAAGCCAAUUUUACAUUACCCAAAACUAGGCCCUCUCUUGUGUUUCAAUUAUUAAGAAAGUGCUUUUUGUUUUGGGCAUUGUAUGUUUUGGGCACUCCAUUUAGAAAUCCACCUUCUCCAAGAAAAAGCACAAUUGUCUGUGGAAGAGCCGUUAGCUGACCAAUUUGAUAUCACCCAAAACUAAGCUCUCUCUUGUGUUCUCUUGAUGGUCAGAAAGUGCUUCCUGUUUUGGGCGUUAUCGAUUGGAGAAUUCAACUUUGCAGCAAUGGGAUGAUUUAUAUUUGUUUCAGACUGAUUAUGUAGCACCCAAAACGGGGCUCUCUCUUGUGACUGAAUUAUGAUGAGAAAGUGCUUUCUGUUUUGGGCGUUCUGGCCAUCAGAUAUACGACAUGGAAUUGGAUGUUGAGAGGCAGCUUGUGAAAAAAAGGCAUGGAGGCUUAUCAUCCGUGUCAGAAAUUUAUUAGUGGUGUUUAUGUAAGGGGAAUUACCUCUGGGAGCUGGAAAAAAAGAAGUUGAGAAGGCCUUCUACUGGAUUGAUAAUGUGACAGAUACAGCUGAUUUUUCAAUGCAAAGCCAACUCUACAAAGCUGCAGAUAAUUUUAUUUAAGGUAUUAUUACUUUCUACUAUUUAACAUCUAAGAGUUUCCUCUGGUUGCUAGUUUCUACCCUGGAUAUCACUAAUGUUAAUUAGGAAGUCUGUCCCUUGCCCCACCCAGACAGGUGACUGCAAAACAAUAGUGUCUUAAUUAUAUGCAUACCGCUUGGCAAUUGAUUGGCUAAUGGUCUUCUAGGAUCUACAGAUAUAAGUGCCAGAUCUAGGGAAGGCAAUCCACAGUCUCCAGCAGAAAGCACUGAAGCUCCUCAAGUGACCUCUGCAAGAUGUUUCUUGUACACUCCAAUAUUACUCCAAUGGGUUUGGAGUCAAAUCUUCAAGGGCCUUGCAAAAAAAAUCCUCUGCAGAGUAAAAGAACCAACAGUGGAAAGGGACUGAAGAUUCCUACAGGCUGAUUAUGCAUCACCCAGAACAAGGCUCUCUUCUUUUGACCUUCAUGGAUGGAUCUACAGAUAUAAGUGCCAGAUCUAGGGAAGGCAAUCCACAGUCUCCAGCAGAAAGCACUGAAGCUCCUCAAGUGACCUCUGCAAGAUGUUUCUUGUACACUCCAAUAUUACUCCAAUGGGUUUGGAGUCAAAUCUUCAAGGGCCUUGCAAAAAAAAUCCUCUGCAGAGUAAAAGAACCAACAGUGGAAAGGGACUGAAGAUUCCUACAGGCUGAUUAUGCAUCACCCAGAACAAGGCUCUCUUCUUUUGACCUUCAUGGAUGGAUCUACAGAUAUAAGUGCCAGAUCUAGGGAAGGCAAUCCACAGUCUCCAGCAGAAAGCACUGAAGCUCCUCAAGUGACCUCUGCAAGAUGUUUCUUGUACACUCCAAUAUUACUCCAAUGGGUUUGGAGUCAAAUCUUCAAGGGCCUUGCAAAAAAAAUCCUCUGCAGAGUAAAAGAACCAACAGUGGAAAGGGACUGAAGAUUCCUACAGGCUGAUUAUGCAUCACCCAGAACAAGGCUCUCUUCUUUUGACCUUCAUGGAUGGUGAGAAAGUGCUUUCUGUUUUGGGUGAUCUAUGUAUCAGAAAUACAUCAAAGGUUUUUAUAAGGGGAAUUGGUUCAGAUUAGAAAUGUAUCAUUUGGGUUUAUACGGGAAAUCAAUCCUAGAAAGUUGUGAAAGCCUUCCAAUGGAUUGAUAAUGUGUCAGAUACAACUGAUUUUCAAUGCAAAGCCAAUUUUACAUUACCCAAAACUAGGCCCUCUCUUGUGUUUCAAUUAUUAAGAAAGUGCUUUUUGUUUUGGGCAUUGUAUGUUUUGGGCACUCCAUUUAGAAAUCCACCUUCUCCAAGAAAAAGCACAAUUGUCUGUGGAAGAGCCGUUAGCUGACCAAUUUGAUAUCACCCAAAACUAAGCUCUCUCUUGUGUUCUCUUGAUGGUCAGAAAGUGCUUCCUGUUUUGGGCGUUAUCGAUUGGAGAAUUCAACUUUGCAGCAAUGGGAUGAUUUAUAUUUGUUUCAGACUGAUUAUGUAGCACCCAAAACGGGGCUCUCUCUUGUGACUGAAUUAUGAUGAGAAAGUGCUUUCUGUUUUGGGCGUUCUGGCCAUCAGAUAUACGACAUGGAAUUGGAUGUUGAGAGGCAGCUUGUGAAAAAAAGGCAUGGAGGCUUAUCAUCCGUGUCAGAAAUUUAUUAGUGGUGUUUAUGUGGGGAAUUACCUCUGGGAGCUGGAAAAAAAGAAGUUGAGAAGGCCUUCUACUGGAUUGAUAAUGUGACAGAUACAGCUGAUUUUUCAAUGCAAAGCCAACUCUACAAAGCUGCAGAUAAUUUUAUUUAAGGUAUUAUUACUUUCUACUAUUUAACAUCUAAGAGUUUCCUCUGGUUGCUAGUUUCUACCCUGGAUAUCACUAAUGUUAAUUAGGAAGUCUGUCCCUUGCCCCACCCAGACAGGUGACUGCAAAACAAUAGUGUCUUAAUUAUAUGCAUACCGCUUGGCAAUUGAUUGGCUAAUGGUCUUCUAGGAUCUACAGAUAUAAGUGCCAGAUCUAGGGAAGGCAAUCCACAGUCUCCAGCAGAAAGCACUGAAGCUCCUCAAGUGACCUCUGCAAGAUGUUUCUUGUACACUCCAAUAUUACUCCAAUGGGUUUGGAGUCAAAUCUUCAAGGGCCUUGCAAAAAAAAUCCUCUGCAGAGUAAAAGAACCAACAGUGGAAAGGGACUGAAGAUUCCUACAGGCUGAUUAUGCAUCACCCAGAACAAGGCUCUCUUCUUUUGACCUUCAUGGAUGGUGAGAAAGUGCUUUCUGUUUUGGGUGAUCUAUGUAUCAGAAAUACAUCAAAGGUUUUUAUAAGGGGAAUUGGUUCAGAUUAGAAAUGUAUCAUUUGGGUUUAUACGGGAAAUCAAUCCUAGAAAGUUGUGAAAGCCUUCCAAUGGAUUGAUAAUGUGUCAGAUACAACUGAUUUUCAAUGCAAAGCCAAUUUUACAUUACCCAAAACUAGGCCCUCUCUUGUGUUUCAAUUAUUAAGAAAGUGCUUUUUGUUUUGGGCAUUGUAUGUUUUGGGCACUCCAUUUAGAAAUCCACCUUCUCCAAGAAAAAGCACAAUUGUCUGUGGAAGAGCCGUUAGCUGACCAAUUUGAUAUCACCCAAAACUAAGCUCUCUCUUGUGUUCUCUUGAUGGUCAGAAAGUGCUUCCUGUUUUGGGCGUUAUCGAUUGGAGAAUUCAACUUUGCAGCAAUGGGAUGAUUUAUAUUUGUUUCAGACUGAUUAUGUAGCACCCAAAACGGGGCUCUCUCUUGUGACUGAAUUAUGAUGAGAAAGUGCUUUCUGUUUUGGGCGUUCUGGCCAUCAGAUAUACGACAUGGAAUUGGAUGUUGAGAGGCAGCUUGUGAAAAAAAGGCAUGGAGGCUUAUCAUCCGUGUCAGAAAUUUAUUAGUGGUGUUUAUGUAGGGGAAUUACCUCUGGGAGCUGGAAAAAAAGAAGUUGAGAAGGCCUUCUACUGGAUUGAUAAUGUGACAGAUACAGCUGAUUUUUCAAUGCAAAGCCAACUCUACAAAGCUGCAGAUAAUUUUAUUUAAGGUAUUAUUACUUUCUACUAUUUAACAUCUAAGAGUUUCCUCUGGUUGCUAGUUUCUACCCUGGAUAUCACUAAUGUUAAUUAGGAAGUCUGUCCCUUGCCCCACCCAGACAGGUGACUGCAAAACAAUAGUGUCUUAAUUAUAUGCAUACCGCUUGGCAAUUGAUUGGCUAAUGGUCUUCUAGGAUCUACAGAUAUAAGUGCCAGAUCUAGGGAAGGCAAUCCACAGUCUCCAGCAGAAAGCACUGAAGCUCCUCAAGUGACCUCUGCAAGAUGUUUCUUGUACACUCCAAUAUUACUCCAAUGGGUUUGGAGUCAAAUCUUCAAGGGCCUUGCAAAAAAAAUCCUCUGCAGAGUAAAAGAACCAACAGUGGAAAGGGACUGAAGAUUCCUACAGGCUGAUUAUGCAUCACCCAGAACAAGGCUCUCUUCUUUUGACCUUCAUGGAUGGUGAGAAAGUGCUUUCUGUUUUGGGUGAUCUAUGUAUCAGAAAUACAUCAAAGGUUUUUAUAAGGGGAAUUGGUUCAGAUUAGAAAUGUAUCAUUUGGGUUUAUACGGGAAAUCAAUCCUAGAAAGUUGUGAAAGCCUUCCAAUGGAUUGAUAAUGUGUCAGAUACAACUGAUUUUCAAUGCAAAGCCAAUUUUACAUUACCCAAAACUAGGCCCUCUCUUGUGUUUCAAUUAUUAAGAAAGUGCUUUUUGUUUUGGGCAUUGUAUGUUUUGGGCACUCCAUUUAGAAAUCCACCUUCUCCAAGAAAAAGCACAAUUGUCUGUGGAAGAGCCGUUAGCUGACCAAUUUGAUAUCACCCAAAACUAAGCUCUCUCUUGUGUUCUCUUGAUGGUCAGAAAGUGCUUCCUGUUUUGGGCGUUAUCGAUUGGAGAAUUCAACUUUGCAGCAAUGGGAUGAUUUAUAUUUGUUUCAGACUGAUUAUGUAGCACCCAAAACGGGGCUCUCUCUUGUGACUGAAUUAUGAUGAGAAAGUGCUUUCUGUUUUGGGCGUUCUGGCCAUCAGAUAUACGACAUGGAAUUGGAUGUUGAGAGGCAGCUUGUGAAAAAAAGGCAUGGAGGCUUAUCAUCCGUGUCAGAAAUUUAUUAGUGGUGUUUAUGUAAGGGGAAUUACCUCUGGGAGCUGGAAAAAAAGAAGUUGAGAAGGCCUUCUACUGGAUUGAUAAUGUGACAGAUACAGCUGAUUUUUCAAUGCAAAGCCAACUCUACAAACCUGCAGAUAAUUUUAUUUAAGGUAUUAUUACUUUCUACUAUUUAACAUCUAAGAGUUUCCUCUGGUUGCUAGUUUCUACCCUGGAUAUCACUAAUGUUAAUUAGGAAGUCUGUCCCUUGCCCCGCCCAGACAGGUGACUGCAAAACAAUAGUGUCUUAAUUAUAUGCAUACCGCUUGGCAAUUGAUUGGCUAAUGGUCUUCUAGGAUCUACAGAUAUAAGUGCCAGAUCUAGGGAAGGCAAUCCACAGUCUCCAGCAGAAAGCACUGAAGCUCCUCAAGUGACCUCUGCAAGAUGUUUCUUGUACACUCCAAUAUUACUCCAAUGGGUUUGGAGUCAAAUCUUCAAGGGCCUUGCAAAAAAAAUCCUCUGCAGAGUAAAAGAACCAACAGUGGAAAGGGACUGAAGAUUCCUACAGGCUGAUUAUGCAUCACCCAGAACAAGGCUCUCUUCUUUUGACCUUCAUGGAUGGUGAGAAAGUGCUUUCUGUUUUGGGUGAUCUAUGUAUCAGAAAUACAUCAAAGGUUUUUAUAAGGGGAAUUGGUUCAGAUUAGAAAUGUAUCAUUUGGGUUUAUACGGGAAAUCAAUCCUAGAAAGUUGUGAAAGCCUUCCAAUGGAUUGAUAAUGUGUCAGAUACAACUGAUUUUCAAUGCAAAGCCAAUUUUACAUUACCCAAAACUAGGCCCUCUCUUGUGUUUCAAUUAUUAAGAAAGUGCUUUUUGUUUUGGGCAUUGUAUGUUUUGGGCACUCCAUUUAGAAAUCCACCUUCUCCAAGAAAAAGCACAAUUGUCUGUGGAAGAGCCGUUAGCUGACCAAUUUGAUAUCACCCAAAACUAAGCUCUCUCUUGUGUUCUCUUGAUGGUCAGAAAGUGCUUCCUGUUUUGGGCGUUAUCGAUUGGAGAAUUCAACUUUGCAGCAAUGGGAUGAUUUAUAUUUGUUUCAGACUGAUUAUGUAGCACCCAAAACGGGGCUCUCUCUUGUGACUGAAUUAUGAUGAGAAAGUGCUUUCUGUUUUGGGCGUUCUGGCCAUCAGAUAUACGACAUGGAAUUGGAUGUUGAGAGGCAGCUUGUGAAAAAAAGGCAUGGAGGCUUAUCAUCCGUGUCAGAAAUUUAUUAGUGGUGUUUAUGUAGGGGAAUUACCUCUGGGAGCUGGAAAAAAAGAAGUUGAGAAGGCCUUCUACUGGAUUGAUAAUGUGACAGAUACAGCUGAUUUUUCAAUGCAAAGCCAACUCUACAAAGCUGCAGAUAAUUUUAUUUAAGGUAUUAUUACUUUCUACUAUUUAACAUCUAAGAGUUUCCUCUGGUUGCUAGUUUCUACCCUGGAUAUCACUAAUGUUAAUUAGGAAGUCUGUCCCUUGCCCCACCCAGACAGGUGACUGCAAAACAAUAGUGUCUUAAUUAUAUGCAUACCGCUUGGCAAUUGAUUGGCUAAUGGUCUUCUAGGAUCUACAGAUAUAAGUGCCAGAUCUAGGGAAGGCAAUCCACAGUCUCCAGCAGAAAGCACUGAAGCUCCUCAAGUGACCUCUGCAAGAUGUUUCUUGUACACUCCAAUAUUACUCCAAUGGGUUUGGAGUCAAAUCUUCAAGGGCCUUGCAAAAAAAAUCCUCUGCAGAGUAAAAGAACCAACAGUGGAAAGGGACUGAAGAUUCCUACAGGCUGAUUAUGCAUCACCCAGAACAAGGCUCUCUUCUUUUGACCUUCAUGGAUGGUGAGAAAGUGCUUUCUGUUUUGGGUGAUCUAUGUAUCAGAAAUACAUCAAAGGUUUUUAUAAGGGGAAUUGGUUCAGAUUAGAAAUGUAUCAUUUGGGUUUAUACGGGAAAUCAAUCCUAGAAAGUUGUGAAAGCCUUCCAAUGGAUUGAUAAUGUGUCAGAUACAACUGAUUUUCAAUGCAAAGCCAAUUUUACAUUACCCAAAACUAGGCCCUCUCUUGUGUUUCAAUUAUUAAGAAAGUGCUUUUUGUUUUGGGCAUUGUAUGUUUUGGGCACUCCAUUUAGAAAUCCACCUUCUCCAAGAAAAAGCACAAUUGUCUGUGGAAGAGCCGUUAGCUGACCAAUUUGAUAUCACCCAAAACUAAGCUCUCUCUUGUGUUCUCUUGAUGGUCAGAAAGUGCUUCCUGUUUUGGGCGUUAUCGAUUGGAGAAUUCAACUUUGCAGCAAUGGGAUGAUUUAUAUUUGUUUCAGACUGAUUAUGUAGCACCCAAAACGGGGCUCUCUCUUGUGACUGAAUUAUGAUGAGAAAGUGCUUUCUGUUUUGGGCGUUCUGGCCAUCAGAUAUACGACAUGGAAUUGGAUGUUGAGAGGCAGCUUGUGAAAAAAAGGCAUGGAGGCUUAUCAUCCGUGUCAGAAAUUUAUUAGUGGUGUUUAUGUGGGGAAUUACCUCUGGGAGCUGGAAAAAAAGAAGUUGAGAAGGCCUUCUACUGGAUUGAUAAUGUGACAGAUACAGCUGAUUUUUCAAUGCAAAGCCAACUCUACAAAGCUGCAGAUAAUUUUAUUUAAGGUAUUAUUACUUUCUACUAUUUAACAUCUAAGAGUUUCCUCUGGUUGCUAGUUUCUACCCUGGAUAUCACUAAUGUUAAUUAGGAAGUCUGUCCCUUGCCCCGCCCAGACAGGUGACUGCAAAACAAUAGUGUCUUAAUUAUAUGCAUACCGCUUGGCAAUUGAUUGGCUAAUGGUCUUCUAGGAUCUACAGAUAUAAGUGCCAGAUCUAGGGAAGGCAAUCCACAGUCUCCAGCAGAAAGCACUGAAGCUCCUCAAGUGACCUCUGCAAGAUGUUUCUUGUACACUCCAAUAUUACUCCAAUGGGUUUGGAGUCAAAUCUUCAAGGGCCUUGCAAAAAAAAUCCUCUGCAGAGUAAAAGAACCAACAGUGGAAAGGGACUGAAGAUUCCUACAGGCUGAUUAUGCAUCACCCAGAACAAGGCUCUCUUCUUUUGACCUUCAUGGAUGGUGAGAAAGUGCUUUCUGUUUUGGGUGAUCUAUGUAUCAGAAAUACAUCAAAGGUUUUUAUAAGGGGAAUUGGUUCAGAUUAGAAAUGUAUCAUUUGGGUUUAUACGGGAAAUCAAUCCUAGAAAGUUGUGAAAGCCUUCCAAUGGAUUGAUAAUGUGUCAGAUACAACUGAUUUUCAAUGCAAAGCCAAUUUUACAUUACCCAAAACUAGGCCCUCUCUUGUGUUUCAAUUAUUAAGAAAGUGCUUUUUGUUUUGGGCAUUGUAUGUUUUGGGCACUCCAUUUAGAAAUCCACCUUCUCCAAGAAAAAGCACAAUUGUCUGUGGAAGAGCCGUUAGCUGACCAAUUUGAUAUCACCCAAAACUAAGCUCUCUCUUGUGUUCUCUUGAUGGUCAGAAAGUGCUUCCUGUUUUGGGCGUUAUCGAUUGGAGAAUUCAACUUUGCAGCAAUGGGAUGAUUUAUAUUUGUUUCAGACUGAUUAUGUAGCACCCAAAACGGGGCUCUCUCUUGUGACUGAAUUAUGAUGAGAAAGUGCUUUCUGUUUUGGGCGUUCUGGCCAUCAGAUAUACGACAUGGAAUUGGAUGUUGAGAGGCAGCUUGUGAAAAAAAGGCAUGGAGGCUUAUCAUCCGUGUCAGAAAUUUAUUAGUGGUGUUUAUGUAGGGGAAUUACCUCUGGGAGCUGGAAAAAAAGAAGUUGAGAAGGCCUUCUACUGGAUUGAUAAUGUGACAGAUACAGCUGAUUUUUCAAUGCAAAGCCAACUCUACAAAGCUGCAGAUAAUUUUAUUUAAGGUAUUAUUACUUUCUACUAUUUAACAUCUAAGAGUUUCCUCUGGUUGCUAGUUUCUACCCUGGAUAUCACUAAUGUUAAUUAGGAAGUCUGUCCCUUGCCCCGCCCAGACAGGUGACUGCAAAACAAUAGUGUCUUAAUUAUAUGCAUACCGCUUGGCAAUUGAUUGGCUAAUGGUCUUCUAGGAUCUACAGAUAUAAGUGCCAGAUCUAGGGAAGGCAAUCCACAGUCUCCAGCAGAAAGCACUGAAGCUCCUCAAGUGACCUCUGCAAGAUGUUUCUUGUACACUCCAAUAUUACUCCAAUGGGUUUGGAGUCAAAUCUUCAAGGGCCUUGCAAAAAAAAUCCUCUGCAGAGUAAAAGAACCAACAGUGGAAAGGGACUGAAGAUUCCUACAGGCUGAUUAUGCAUCACCCAGAACAAGGCUCUCUUCUUUUGACCUUCAUGGAUGGUGAGAAAGUGCUUUCUGUUUUGGGUGAUCUAUGUAUCAGAAAUACAUCAAAGGUUUUUAUAAGGGGAAUUGGUUCAGAUUAGAAAUGUAUCAUUUGGGUUUAUACGGGAAAUCAAUCCUAGAAAGUUGUGAAAGCCUUCCAAUGGAUUGAUAAUGUGUCAGAUACAACUGAUUUUCAAUGCAAAGCCAAUUUUACAUUACCCAAAACUAGGCCCUCUCUUGUGUUUCAAUUAUUAAGAAAGUGCUUUUUGUUUUGGGCAUUGUAUGUUUUGGGCACUCCAUUUAGAAAUCCACCUUCUCCAAGAAAAAGCACAAUUGUCUGUGGAAGAGCCGUUAGCUGACCAAUUUGAUAUCACCCAAAACUAAGCUCUCUCUUGUGUUCUCUUGAUGGUCAGAAAGUGCUUCCUGUUUUGGGCGUUAUCGAUUGGAGAAUUCAACUUUGCAGCAAUGGGAUGAUUUAUAUUUGUUUCAGACUGAUUAUGUAGCACCCAAAACGGGGCUCUCUCUUGUGACUGAAUUAUGAUGAGAAAGUGCUUUCUGUUUUGGGCGUUCUGGCCAUCAGAUAUACGACAUGGAAUUGGAUGUUGAGAGGCAGCUUGUGAAAAAAAGGCAUGGAGGCUUAUCAUCCGUGUCAGAAAUUUAUUAGUGGUGUUUAUGUAAGGGGAAUUACCUCUGGGAGCUGGAAAAAAAGAAGUUGAGAAGGCCUUCUACUGGAUUGAUAAUGUGACAGAUACAGCUGAUUUUUCAAUGCAAAGCCAACUCUACAAACCUGCAGAUAAUUUUAUUUAAGGUAUUAUUACUUUCUACUAUUUAACAUCUAAGAGUUUCCUCUGGUUGCUAGUUUCUACCCUGGAUAUCACUAAUGUUAAUUAGGAAGUCUGUCCCUUGCCCCGCCCAGACAGGUGACUGCAAAACAAUAGUGUCUUAAUUAUAUGCAUACCGCUUGGCAAUUGAUUGGCUAAUGGUCUUCUAGGAUCUACAGAUAUAAGUGCCAGAUCUAGGGAAGGCAAUCCACAGUCUCCAGCAGAAAGCACUGAAGCUCCUCAAGUGACCUCUGCAAGAUGUUUCUUGUACACUCCAAUAUUACUCCAAUGGGUUUGGAGUCAAAUCUUCAAGGGCCUUGCAAAAAAAAUCCUCUGCAGAGUAAAAGAACCAACAGUGGAAAGGGACUGAAGAUUCCUACAGGCUGAUUAUGCAUCACCCAGAACAAGGCUCUCUUCUUUUGACCUUCAUGGAUGGUGAGAAAGUGCUUUCUGUUUUGGGUGAUCUAUGUAUCAGAAAUACAUCAAAGGUUUUUAUAAGGGGAAUUGGUUCAGAUUAGAAAUGUAUCAUUUGGGUUUAUACGGGAAAUCAAUCCUAGAAAGUUGUGAAAGCCUUCCAAUGGAUUGAUAAUGUGUCAGAUACAACUGAUUUUCAAUGCAAAGCCAAUUUUACAUUACCCAAAACUAGGCCCUCUCUUGUGUUUCAAUUAUUAAGAAAGUGCUUUUUGUUUUGGGCAUUGUAUGUUUUGGGCACUCCAUUUAGAAAUCCACCUUCUCCAAGAAAAAGCACAAUUGUCUGUGGAAGAGCCGUUAGCUGACCAAUUUGAUAUCACCCAAAACUAAGCUCUCUCUUGUGUUCUCUUGAUGGUCAGAAAGUGCUUCCUGUUUUGGGCGUUAUCGAUUGGAGAAUUCAACUUUGCAGCAAUGGGAUGAUUUAUAUUUGUUUCAGACUGAUUAUGUAGCACCCAAAACGGGGCUCUCUCUUGUGACUGAAUUAUGAUGAGAAAGUGCUUUCUGUUUUGGGCGUUCUGGCCAUCAGAUAUACGACAUGGAAUUGGAUGUUGAGAGGCAGCUUGUGAAAAAAAGGCAUGGAGGCUUAUCAUCCGUGUCAGAAAUUUAUUAGUGGUGUUUAUGUGGGGAAUUACCUCUGGGAGCUGGAAAAAAAGAAGUUGAGAAGGCCUUCUACUGGAUUGAUAAUGUGACAGAUACAGCUGAUUUUUCAAUGCAAAGCCAACUCUACAAAGCUGCAGAUAAUUUUAUUUAAGGUAUUAUUACUUUCUACUAUUUAACAUCUAAGAGUUUCCUCUGGUUGCUAGUUUCUACCCUGGAUAUCACUAAUGUUAAUUAGGAAGUCUGUCCCUUGCCCCACCCAGACAGGUGACUGCAAAACAAUAGUGUCUUAAUUAUAUGCAUACCGCUUGGCAAUUGAUUGGCUAAUGGUCUUCUAGGAUCUACAGAUAUAAGUGCCAGAUCUAGGGAAGGCAAUCCACAGUCUCCAGCAGAAAGCACUGAAGCUCCUCAAGUGACCUCUGCAAGAUGUUUCUUGUACACUCCAAUAUUACUCCAAUGGGUUUGGAGUCAAAUCUUCAAGGGCCUUGCAAAAAAAAUCCUCUGCAGAGUAAAAGAACCAACAGUGGAAAGGGACUGAAGAUUCCUACAGGCUGAUUAUGCAUCACCCAGAACAAGGCUCUCUUCUUUUGACCUUCAUGGAUGGUGAGAAAGUGCUUUCUGUUUUGGGUGAUCUAUGUAUCAGAAAUACAUCAAAGGUUUUUAUAAGGGGAAUUGGUUCAGAUUAGAAAUGUAUCAUUUGGGUUUAUACGGGAAAUCAAUCCUAGAAAGUUGUGAAAGCCUUCCAAUGGAUUGAUAAUGUGUCAGAUACAACUGAUUUUCAAUGCAAAGCCAAUUUUACAUUACCCAAAACUAGGCCCUCUCUUGUGUUUCAAUUAUUAAGAAAGUGCUUUUUGUUUUGGGCAUUGUAUGUUUUGGGCACUCCAUUUAGAAAUCCACCUUCUCCAAGAAAAAGCACAAUUGUCUGUGGAAGAGCCGUUAGCUGACCAAUUUGAUAUCACCCAAAACUAAGCUCUCUCUUGUGUUCUCUUGAUGGUCAGAAAGUGCUUCCUGUUUUGGGCGUUAUCGAUUGGAGAAUUCAACUUUGCAGCAAUGGGAUGAUUUAUAUUUGUUUCAGACUGAUUAUGUAGCACCCAAAACGGGGCUCUCUCUUGUGACUGAAUUAUGAUGAGAAAGUGCUUUCUGUUUUGGGCGUUCUGGCCAUCAGAUAUACGACAUGGAAUUGGAUGUUGAGAGGCAGCUUGUGAAAAAAAGGCAUGGAGGCUUAUCAUCCGUGUCAGAAAUUUAUUAGUGGUGUUUAUGUAGGGGAAUUACCUCUGGGAGCUGGAAAAAAAGAAGUUGAGAAGGCCUUCUACUGGAUUGAUAAUGUGACAGAUACAGCUGAUUUUUCAAUGCAAAGCCAACUCUACAAAGCUGCAGAUAAUUUUAUUUAAGGUAUUAUUACUUUCUACUAUUUAACAUCUAAGAGUUUCCUCUGGUUGCUAGUUUCUACCCUGGAUAUCACUAAUGUUAAUUAGGAAGUCUGUCCCUUGCCCCGCCCAGACAGGUGACUGCAAAACAAUAGUGUCUUAAUUAUAUGCAUACCGCUUGGCAAUUGAUUGGCUAAUGGUCUUCUAGGAUCUACAGAUAUAAGUGCCAGAUCUAGGGAAGGCAAUCCACAGUCUCCAGCAGAAAGCACUGAAGCUCCUCAAGUGACCUCUGCAAGAUGUUUCUUGUACACUCCAAUAUUACUCCAAUGGGUUUGGAGUCAAAUCUUCAAGGGCCUUGCAAAAAAAAUCCUCUGCAGAGUAAAAGAACCAACAGUGGAAAGGGACUGAAGAUUCCUACAGGCUGAUUAUGCAUCACCCAGAACAAGGCUCUCUUCUUUUGACCUUCAUGGAUGGUGAGAAAGUGCUUUCUGUUUUGGGUGAUCUAUGUAUCAGAAAUACAUCAAAGGUUUUUAUAAGGGGAAUUGGUUCAGAUUAGAAAUGUAUCAUUUGGGUUUAUACGGGAAAUCAAUCCUAGAAAGUUGUGAAAGCCUUCCAAUGGAUUGAUAAUGUGUCAGAUACAACUGAUUUUCAAUGCAAAGCCAAUUUUACAUUACCCAAAACUAGGCCCUCUCUUGUGUUUCAAUUAUUAAGAAAGUGCUUUUUGUUUUGGGCAUUGUAUGUUUUGGGCACUCCAUUUAGAAAUCCACCUUCUCCAAGAAAAAGCACAAUUGUCUGUGGAAGAGCCGUUAGCUGACCAAUUUGAUAUCACCCAAAACUAAGCUCUCUCUUGUGUUCUCUUGAUGGUCAGAAAGUGCUUCCUGUUUUGGGCGUUAUCGAUUGGAGAAUUCAACUUUGCAGCAAUGGGAUGAUUUAUAUUUGUUUCAGACUGAUUAUGUAGCACCCAAAACGGGGCUCUCUCUUGUGACUGAAUUAUGAUGAGAAAGUGCUUUCUGUUUUGGGCGUUCUGGCCAUCAGAUAUACGACAUGGAAUUGGAUGUUGAGAGGCAGCUUGUGAAAAAAAGGCAUGGAGGCUUAUCAUCCGUGUCAGAAAUUUAUUAGUGGUGUUUAUGUAGGGGAAUUACCUCUGGGAGCUGGAAAAAAAGAAGUUGAGAAGGCCUUCUACUGGAUUGAUAAUGUGACAGAUACAGCUGAUUUUUCAAUGCAAAGCCAACUCUACAAACCUGCAGAUAAUUUUAUUUAAGGUAUUAUUACUUUCUACUAUUUAACAUCUAAGAGUUUCCUCUGGUUGCUAGUUUCUACCCUGGAUAUCACUAAUGUUAAUUAGGAAGUCUGUCCCUUGCCCCACCCAGACAGGUGACUGCAAAACAAUAGUGUCUUAAUUAUAUGCAUACCGCUUGGCAAUUGAUUGGCUAAUGGUCUUCUAGGAUCUACAGAUAUAAGUGCCAGAUCUAGGGAAGGCAAUCCACAGUCUCCAGCAGAAAGCACUGAAGCUCCUCAAGUGACCUCUGCAAGAUGUUUCUUGUACACUCCAAUAUUACUCCAAUGGGUUUGGAGUCAAAUCUUCAAGGGCCUUGCAAAAAAAAUCCUCUGCAGAGUAAAAGAACCAACAGUGGAAAGGGACUGAAGAUUCCUACAGGCUGAUUAUGCAUCACCCAGAACAAGGCUCUCUUCUUUUGACCUUCAUGGAUGGUGAGAAAGUGCUUUCUGUUUUGGGUGAUCUAUGUAUCAGAAAUACAUCAAAGGUUUUUAUAAGGGGAAUUGGUUCAGAUUAGAAAUGUAUCAUUUGGGUUUAUACGGGAAAUCAAUCCUAGAAAGUUGUGAAAGCCUUCCAAUGGAUUGAUAAUGUGUCAGAUACAACUGAUUUUCAAUGCAAAGCCAAUUUUACAUUACCCAAAACUAGGCCCUCUCUUGUGUUUCAAUUAUUAAGAAAGUGCUUUUUGUUUUGGGCAUUGUAUGUUUUGGGCACUCCAUUUAGAAAUCCACCUUCUCCAAGAAAAAGCACAAUUGUCUGUGGAAGAGCCGUUAGCUGACCAAUUUGAUAUCACCCAAAACUAAGCUCUCUCUUGUGUUCUCUUGAUGGUCAGAAAGUGCUUCCUGUUUUGGGCGUUAUCGAUUGGAGAAUUCAACUUUGCAGCAAUGGGAUGAUUUAUAUUUGUUUCAGACUGAUUAUGUAGCACCCAAAACGGGGCUCUCUCUUGUGACUGAAUUAUGAUGAGAAAGUGCUUUCUGUUUUGGGCGUUCUGGCCAUCAGAUAUACGACAUGGAAUUGGAUGUUGAGAGGCAGCUUGUGAAAAAAAGGCAUGGAGGCUUAUCAUCCGUGUCAGAAAUUUAUUAGUGGUGUUUAUGUAGGGGAAUUACCUCUGGGAGCUGGAAAAAAAGAAGUUGAGAAGGCCUUCUACUGGAUUGAUAAUGUGACAGAUACAGCUGAUUUUUCAAUGCAAAGCCAACUCUACAAACCUGCAGAUAAUUUUAUUUAAGGUAUUAUUACUUUCUACUAUUUAACAUCUAAGAGUUUCCUCUGGUUGCUAGUUUCUACCCUGGAUAUCACUAAUGUUAAUUAGGAAGUCUGUCCCUUGCCCCGCCCAGACAGGUGACUGCAAAACAAUAGUGUCUUAAUUAUAUGCAUACCGCUUGGCAAUUGAUUGGCUAAUGGUCUUCUAGGAUCUACAGAUAUAAGUGCCAGAUCUAGGGAAGGCAAUCCACAGUCUCCAGCAGAAAGCACUGAAGCUCCUCAAGUGACCUCUGCAAGAUGUUUCUUGUACACUCCAAUAUUACUCCAAUGGGUUUGGAGUCAAAUCUUCAAGGGCCUUGCAAAAAAAAUCCUCUGCAGAGUAAAAGAACCAACAGUGGAAAGGGACUGAAGAUUCCUACAGGCUGAUUAUGCAUCACCCAGAACAAGGCUCUCUUCUUUUGACCUUCAUGGAUGGUGAGAAAGUGCUUUCUGUUUUGGGUGAUCUAUGUAUCAGAAAUACAUCAAAGGUUUUUAUAAGGGGAAUUGGUUCAGAUUAGAAAUGUAUCAUUUGGGUUUAUACGGGAAAUCAAUCCUAGAAAGUUGUGAAAGCCUUCCAAUGGAUUGAUAAUGUGUCAGAUACAACUGAUUUUCAAUGCAAAGCCAAUUUUACAUUACCCAAAACUAGGCCCUCUCUUGUGUUUCAAUUAUUAAGAAAGUGCUUUUUGUUUUGGGCAUUGUAUGUUUUGGGCACUCCAUUUAGAAAUCCACCUUCUCCAAGAAAAAGCACAAUUGUCUGUGGAAGAGCCGUUAGCUGACCAAUUUGAUAUCACCCAAAACUAAGCUCUCUCUUGUGUUCUCUUGAUGGUCAGAAAGUGCUUCCUGUUUUGGGCGUUAUCGAUUGGAGAAUUCAACUUUGCAGCAAUGGGAUGAUUUAUAUUUGUUUCAGACUGAUUAUGUAGCACCCAAAACGGGGCUCUCUCUUGUGACUGAAUUAUGAUGAGAAAGUGCUUUCUGUUUUGGGCGUUCUGGCCAUCAGAUAUACGACAUGGAAUUGGAUGUUGAGAGGCAGCUUGUGAAAAAAAGGCAUGGAGGCUUAUCAUCCGUGUCAGAAAUUUAUUAGUGGUGUUUAUGUAAGGGGAAUUACCUCUGGGAGCUGGAAAAAAAGAAGUUGAGAAGGCCUUCUACUGGAUUGAUAAUGUGACAGAUACAGCUGAUUUUUCAAUGCAAAGCCAACUCUACAAAGCUGCAGAUAAUUUUAUUUAAGGUAUUAUUACUUUCUACUAUUUAACAUCUAAGAGUUUCCUCUGGUUGCUAGUUUCUACCCUGGAUAUCACUAAUGUUAAUUAGGAAGUCUGUCCCUUGCCCCGCCCAGACAGGUGACUGCAAAACAAUAGUGUCUUAAUUAUAUGCAUACCGCUUGGCAAUUGAUUGGCUAAUGGUCUUCUAGGAUCUACAGAUAUAAGUGCCAGAUCUAGGGAAGGCAAUCCACAGUCUCCAGCAGAAAGCACUGAAGCUCCUCAAGUGACCUCUGCAAGAUGUUUCUUGUACACUCCAAUAUUACUCCAAUGGGUUUGGAGUCAAAUCUUCAAGGGCCUUGCAAAAAAAAUCCUCUGCAGAGUAAAAGAACCAACAGUGGAAAGGGACUGAAGAUUCCUACAGGCUGAUUAUGCAUCACCCAGAACAAGGCUCUCUUCUUUUGACCUUCAUGGAUGGUGAGAAAGUGCUUUCUGUUUUGGGUGAUCUAUGUAUCAGAAAUACAUCAAAGGUUUUUAUAAGGGGAAUUGGUUCAGAUUAGAAAUGUAUCAUUUGGGUUUAUACGGGAAAUCAAUCCUAGAAAGUUGUGAAAGCCUUCCAAUGGAUUGAUAAUGUGUCAGAUACAACUGAUUUUCAAUGCAAAGCCAAUUUUACAUUA
Long non-coding RNA from Xenopus laevis (African clawed frog), 23089 nucleotides. RefSeq lists it as uncharacterized. The transcript has 4 exons. The record is from RefSeq and is a predicted model, not a curated record. NCBI's taxonomy places the organism in Eukaryota, Metazoa, Chordata, Amphibia, Anura, Pipidae.